RNAcentral lists this ribosomal RNA (434 nucleotides) under uncultured bacterium. RNAcentral describes it as "partial 16S ribosomal RNA". It matches the Rfam family "Bacterial small subunit ribosomal RNA", at positions 29 to 507 of the family's 1533-position model. The record is from RNAcentral.
AACGAACGCUGGCGGCAGGCUUAACACAUGCAAGUCGAACGCGUGCAGCAAUGCACGAGUGGCGCACGGGUGAGUAACGAGUGGAUAUCUGCCUUUUGGUUCGGAAUAAGCCCGGGAAACUGGGGCUAAUACCGGAUGGUUCCUACGGGAUAAAGAUUUAUCGCCAAAAGAUGAGUCCGCGUCCGAUUAGCUAGUUGGUGAGGUAAUGGCUCACCAAGGCGACGAUCGGUAGCUGGUCUGAGAGGACGAUCAGCCACACUGGACUGAGACACGGCCCAGACUCCUACGGGAGGCAGCAGUGGGGAAUAUUGGACAAUGGGGGCAACCCUGAUCCAGCCAUGCCGCGUGAGUGAUGAAGGCCUUCGGGUUGUAAAGCUCUUUUGGCGGGGACGAUGAUGACGGUACCCGCAGAAUAAGUCCCGGCUAACUUCGUG